RNAcentral lists this ribosomal RNA (373 nucleotides) under uncultured bacterium. RNAcentral's name for it is "bacterial SSU rRNA". It matches the Rfam family "Bacterial small subunit ribosomal RNA", at positions 527 to 898 of the family's 1533-position model. The record is from RNAcentral.
AGAGGUGGCAAGCGUUGUUCGGAAUUACUGGGCGUAAAGGGCGCGUAGGUGGUCUGGUCAGUCAGACGUGAAAUCCCCAGGCUUAACUUGGGAACUGCGUCUGAUACUACAAGACUCGAGUUCGGGAGAGGGAUGUGGAAUUCCAGGUGUAGCGGUGAAAUGCGUAGAUAUCUGGAGGAACACCGGUGGCGAAGGCGGCAUCCUGGACCGAAACUGACACUGAUGCGCGAAAGCCAGGGGAGCAAACGGGAUUAGAUACCCCGGUAGUCCUGGCCCUAAACGAUGAGUGCUUGGUGUGGCGGGUAUCGAUCCCUGCCGUGCCGAAGCUAACGCAUUAAGCACUCCGCCUGGGGAGUACGGUCGCAAGGCUGAA